AGAUAUAUAGUUUAAAUAAAACAUUAAUUUUGUAAAUUAAAAUUAAAUAAAAUUUUAUAUCUA
RNAcentral lists this transfer RNA (63 nucleotides) under Prosaspicera validispina. RNAcentral describes it as "tRNA-Thr". Lineage: Eukaryota; Metazoa; Arthropoda; Insecta; Hymenoptera; Figitidae. The record is from RNAcentral.